Molecule: transfer RNA, 73 nt
Filed under: Cutibacterium acnes
Lineage: Bacteria; Bacillati; Actinomycetota; Actinomycetes; Propionibacteriales; Propionibacteriaceae
Also listed under: 9 other names
Description: tRNA-Gly
Rfam family: tRNA
About the family: Transfer RNA (tRNA) molecules are approximately 80 nucleotides in length. Their secondary structure includes four short double-helical elements and three loops (D, anti-codon, and T loops).
Source: RNAcentral
GCGGACGUAGCUCAGUUGGUAGAGCAUCACCUUGCCAAGGUGAGGGUCGCGGGUUCGAGUCCCGUCGUCCGCU